RNAcentral lists this ribosomal RNA (618 nucleotides) under uncultured fungus. RNAcentral's name for it is "eukaryotic LSU rRNA". It matches the Rfam family "Eukaryotic large subunit ribosomal RNA", at positions 24 to 664 of the family's 3401-position model. The record is from RNAcentral. Lineage: Eukaryota; Fungi.
CCCGCUGAACUUAAGCAUAUCAAUAAGCGGAGGAAAAGAAACCAACAGGGAUUGCCCCAGUAACGGCGAGUGAAGCGGCAACAGCUCAAAUUUGAAAUCUGGUCCCCAGGGCCCGAGUUGUAAUUUGCAGAGGAUGCUUUUGGCGCGGCGCCUUCCGAGUUCCCUGGAACGGGACGCCUUAGAGGGUGAGAGCCCCGUACGGUUGGACACCAAGCCUCUGUAAAGCUCCUUCGACGAGUCGAGUAGUUUGGGAAUGCUGCUCUAAAUGGGAGGUAAAUUUCUUCUAAAGCUAAAUAUUGGCCAGAGACCGAUAGCGCACAAGUAGAGUGAUCGAAAGAUGAAAAGCACUUUGAAAAGAGGGUUAAAUAGCACGUGAAAUUGUUGAAAGGGAAGCGUUUGCGACCAGACUUUUUCCUAGCGGAUCAUCCGGUGUUAUCACCGGUGCACUUUGCUAGGUCAAGGCCAGCAUCGGUUUCCGUAGGGGGAUAAAAGCUUGGGGAAUGUAGCUCCCUCGGGAGUGUUAUAGCCCCUCGUAUAAUACCCUUAUAGGGACCGAGGACCGCGCUUUUUGCAAGGAUGCUGGCGUAAUGGUUGUCAACGACCCGUCUUGAAACACGG